GAGAGAGGAAGGACGGCCACCGGGUCACCUGACCUGAGGAAAGUCCCCCCACCACCCGGAUACACGAACGCCUGUAGAGGGCGUAGGACGAGAGUCCUGGCAGUUGCCGUCUAAAACCGGUGGCUCACACGGUCUGCCUUAUGGCAGGCUGUAUGAUGGCACAGAAACGAUACCGCUCCGCGUCAAUGCUAUGAUGCUGUAAAGCUGAGGUCGCGCGGGAGGCGGAUGGAACGCGUGAAUCCUCGUGGGUGCAAGCCAAACAGGGGCCAUAUGCCUGUCCGGGGCCGGUCCGGAGUUGGCGCUUAGCCGAAUGCCGUUAUAUGGCGGAUCACAUCCUUAAGGGAAGUGCCGCUAAAACAGAAGGGGGCUUACUCUCCUCACUC
RNAcentral lists this RNase P RNA (383 nucleotides) under ANME-2 cluster archaeon. Its description in RNAcentral is "RNase P RNA component". It matches the Rfam family "Archaeal RNase P". Rfam says of the family: Ribonuclease P (RNase P) is a ubiquitous endoribonuclease, found in archaea, bacteria and eukarya as well as chloroplasts and mitochondria. The record is from RNAcentral. Lineage: Archaea; Methanobacteriati; Methanobacteriota; Methanomicrobia; Methanosarcinales.